This 476-nucleotide ribosomal RNA is filed under the name uncultured bacterium. RNAcentral's name for it is "SSU rRNA". It matches the Rfam family "Bacterial small subunit ribosomal RNA", at positions 26 to 521 of the family's 1533-position model. The record is from RNAcentral.
AGGAUGAACGCUGGCGGCGUGCCUAACACAUGCAAGUCGAACGUCCUGUCUCGCAAGAGGCAGGGAGUGGCGGACGGGUGAGUACCACGUGGGUUAUCUACCGUGAGGUGAGGAAUACCGGCGAGAAAUCGCCGACAAGACCGCAUAGCCUCGGUGCAAGUCGAGCAAAGCUCUCUCGAGAGAGGGAGCGCCACACGAGGAGCCUGCGCCCGAUUAGCUAGCUGGUGGAGUAAUGGUUCACCAGGGCGACGAUCGGUAGCUGGUCUGAGAGGACGAUCAGCCGCACUGGGAUUGAGAACGGCCCAGACUCCUACGGGGGGCAGCAGUGAGGAAUUUUCGUCAAUGGGGGCAACCCUGAACGAGCAACGCCGCGUGCAGGAAGAAGGUUUUCGGAUCGUAAACUGCUUUUCUCGGGGAAGAGAACGGACGGUACCCGAGGAAUCAGCCCCGGCUAACUACGCGCCAGCAGCCGCGGU